RNA transcript from Sebastes umbrosus (honeycomb rockfish), 2687 nucleotides. RefSeq lists it as uncharacterized. Lineage: Eukaryota; Metazoa; Chordata; Actinopteri; Perciformes; Sebastidae. The transcript is spliced from 6 exons. The record is from RefSeq and is a predicted model, not a curated record.
UUUUUUCGUAAUAUUACGACUUUUUUUUCGUAAUAUUAUUACUUUAUUCUGUAAAUCUCAGAUGUUUUUUCCCUCAAUGUGGUCCUAAUACUCCGUAGUACAUUUUGCAUUUGGGCCUCACUGCAUUAGACUUAUAUACUAUAUACUUAAACUAUAAAUUGUGUUACCUUCAUUACAAUGCUCAAAUGCUUUGCGGCUUCACACAGAUUUUUUUUUUAGUUUUUAAACGGCUGUUUUGAUAGUAAAGGUUGCUGACCCCUGUUAUAGAGUAACUAAACCAAUGUGCAUAUUUAGUGGUGUUGAUGGAUUCAGGUCCAAAUCUUGACGUUUUUAGUGCAGUGAAUUCUACAAAGUGUGCAUACUAGUGACUGCCCUCUAUUGGUUGGAACCAGGUGCCAGGUGACGUAUAUGGUGCCAGGUGACGUCACACAGUAGCCAGAAUGGGUCGUCAGUGUUGCUCUCCGGGCUGCAGAAACACCUCCGGGCUGCACAGCUUCCCAGCAGACCGAGACAUCAGGCAGCUGUGGUUGCGGGCACUGAGUCUACCGGCGGACCGGGAGCUGCCACCGAGAGCAGGAGUUUGCAAUCGUCAUUUUUCCCGGGAUUGCUACUCCAACCUCAUGGAGGUGGAGAUGGGUUUCUCUAAAGUGCCCAUGCUGAAAAGCGACGCGGUGCCAAACGUUGCUCUCCCGGUACCGACAACAGGACCACCGUCACAGCAGCUGCGCCUACUGCUGCCAGCAACUCCCACGCAUUUUCAGGGCACCAGUGGCAGUUUCUGUCGAAUUAUGCCCGAUGUAAGACACGUAGCCUCCCAGACUGACACCCCAGAGAGAACAUCUGUCCGAAGUAAAGCGACCCAGGCGAGAGUGCCCAGCAGAGAUUGCGGCAUGUGCACCCUCACCUUCCCGUUGGACAGUCCACUACUGUUCCUACAACCAAUAAUAGCAAAGAGACCAUCCAAGAGACCUCGACUCAGCCUCACAGACGAGGAGGAAGGCCCUUCACGAGGCAGCUCGUCUACGGUGGUUCAUGAACCAGAGGAUUCAACGUGAUGCUGUGGACUCUGUCACUGUCGUGAAAAGUGUCAUCAAACAGGAAAAGGUGGAGCUUAUGUUGUGUGACUGAGCUCAAUGCAGAGGGAGCCAUGGCAGAAACAAGCCUGGGUGUUUUUGGUGCGGUGAAGACCACCCUACAGAGUGCAGCAGCAGCUUUUGCUUUUGGUGAAGCUGCAUUAUUUGCAGUGCAGCCUGCGCUGACUGAAGAUGGCGUCCUGCUGACUGCUGCCACCCUGGCUGCUCGACAAACCGGAUCCACGGGUGUUGGGGUCGUCGCGGCGUGCCUCGUGUUCACCUCCGUGCUCAUUUCUCUGGGGAGUGGUUUCCUCCUCGCUGCCAUGGCGAUGAAGCUGCUGACUAAAGCUGGAGUGAGGUUGCCGUGGUUAGCGGAGGCCACGACGGGAGCCUCUGUUGUGGUGGGAGCUGUCGCUACUGGAGUGUUAGCAGGCGUCAUUCCACCGUGGAUCUACAUCGCAGCCCAAGGCAUUCUGGUCCUUGUAGUGUACUCGUACUCCAACAUUAACGACAUGACCACAGCUCUGCUGAUCAUCUUCACCACUCUCUACAUCAGUGUCGUAUAUGGGAGAAUGGGUGUCAUGGUCGGACUCUUCGUCAUGGGGUUGACCAUCUCUGUGCUUUGUGCCCUUCGGAAGGCUCUGACAGAGAGGAUGACACAAAGACCAAAACCUAAAAGCAGGUGCCAACUUCUGGAGAGGAUAUUCUUCUACUCUGUUUUUGUGGGGAUACUGGGGUUUUCAGUCGGUUUGGGCGCAGGCGGAGUAGGGGAAGGGUCUGAAGUAGAGAUGGUUUUGAUACUGCAGUCGGUCCUCUGGGUGGCGUUCCUGUCUGCAGGGCUGCUAGGAGCUGGCCUGGGAACGGUGGCCACGGCCGGGCUGGGGCCAGAGGUGGCUGGAAAGCUCGCCGUGGGAGCUGCUGUAAUAUCAUCAAUCGCCCUGAGAGCCAUUGUGCAGUUCAGCUCUUCUCUCGGGACCCGAAGCAGCAUGGGGGGGACGUUAGGAGCAGCUACAGCAGCAGGGGUGUCACUCGGAGCUGCAAGCGUCGCAGCAAAACAGGCGUUCGGGUCUAGAAAUUCAACUUUAGUCGCUUUAGGUUCAGUCGUCGUCGGUGCAAUUGUGGCAACGCGAGGCGUAGCGCUGAACGCGGCUCUCCUGACAACAUCAGAAGUUAUAACAAUCACCCUCGUUGCAGUGGGGGCGUUUGUUCUGGGUGCACCAAAAAGCCCGUUCAACACUCAGGUGAAUCUACAAAGGGGCCUCCUCACGGGGCCGGAGCUAAUUAAAGGUAUCGGCAUGGAGACGGUCACCGCAGCAGCAGCACCUAUCGGAGCCGGGGCACUCGGGGCCGCAGCGCUGGGUACCGCCGCUCUGGGGAGACUGGGGACUGUGGGAGUUCUGGCGGCUAUAGUGUUGGCUUUGGGAAGUGCUCUUAGUGGCAUGAUAGGAAAAUCACCGCCGACAACCAACGCACACACAGACUGAUUGACGCCUCAGUUUAGAUCUCUGUCUGAACACAAGGCCAAACAAUAAAGAAGAGUGCAUGUGUGUGUGUGUGUGUGUGUAUGUAUGUGUAUGUGUGUGUGUGUGUAUGUAUGUAUGUAGGUAUAUGUGU